GUUUAGCCAGGUGGUGUUUCACCCAGGCCUGGAGUGAGCCAGGUGGGAGCUGUUAGCAAUUAAAGAAGAGUAAAUGGUCUUGAUCAACAGUCACUCUCAAAUACCUCUGAAUCAAGCCUGUGGGUUUUUUUUUUGGCAGCUGAAGGAUUGAGAUACCUACAGUGGGUAUGGGGUACAACUGCAACAACCACAUAGCUCUUCUGUGGAUGGCUCCUACUACCUAGAGAAGGCUGGGAAAUACUGGAAUUUCUUCAUGCUUUUACUCUAAACAGAUCCAAUUUUCGAAGAUGAGAAUAGAGGCAAUGGAAGUGAAGUGAACAACAUCAUGGCAUCAGCUUUCACCCUGGCAUAAGGUGAUUAAAUCACCAUCUCAGUGACAAGAUGCAUCGUUGCUGUUGGGAGAAGACAAGUUCAACCUGGCUGCCUCCUAGUACGAGUGCAACUUGGAGGAACCCAGUUACUUCCUGAGAUGGAGUUUUUGUGUGGCUGAACUUUUUUGUUGUCCGCAAUACUGGCUAUAUAUGGAAGAAGAUAAUUUUUUACACACCUUCAGCUGUUGCAGGUGGAGCAAUGGACAUUGUUAAGAAUGCUGAUUUACAAGUGGAACAAAUCUCAAGGCAAAUAUUGUGCUGUGGAGCAGCAAAAUGUGUUAUUUUCAAGCAGAAAGAUUAGAUGAGAAUCUGACUUCUGGUAUACCGUGGGCAGGAUGAGCAUAAAUCCAAUGGGAGAAGAGUUCCAUUCCUAUCCAACCAAUUGCUGUAAGUCCACAGUUAAAACAGCAAUAUAAUUUUGAGAACCUGAUGUAUUUUGCUUGUGACUCCCAUGAUUGACUUAGAAGAGGAGGAAUGCAGAAAUACAUGUAUUAUUUGAAAUACAACAUAAAUAUGUAGUAGUUAGAAAAAAGUAAUAUAACAAAAUGUUUUUAUUUAUACAAGAUGUGAAUUUGUACUGAAAAACAACAAC
This 963-nucleotide long non-coding RNA is filed under the name Coturnix japonica (Japanese quail). Its description in RNAcentral is "lncRNA (ENSCJPG00005008214.1)". Lineage: Eukaryota; Metazoa; Chordata; Aves; Galliformes; Phasianidae. The record is from RNAcentral.